Molecule: long non-coding RNA, 98 nt
Organism: Melitaea cinxia (Glanville fritillary)
Lineage: Eukaryota; Metazoa; Arthropoda; Insecta; Lepidoptera; Nymphalidae
Exons: 3
Source: RefSeq, a predicted model, not a curated record
GUUUCCAUUUACUUGUACUGUUACUUGCGGACAAGCUUAUGGGCUUUUGCAAGUAAAUAUAAUUUUAUGUAUGCUUUUCUUAAUGUUACAAAUAAAAA